CGACUGCGGAGGACAUUA
This 18-nucleotide ribosomal RNA is filed under the name Gloeophyllum sepiarium. RNAcentral describes it as "partial 18S small subunit ribosomal RNA". RNAcentral also lists the same sequence under 2 other names. The record is from RNAcentral. Lineage: Eukaryota; Fungi; Basidiomycota; Agaricomycetes; Gloeophyllales; Gloeophyllaceae.